Molecule: ribosomal RNA, 566 nt
Filed under: Nannothemis bella
Lineage: Eukaryota; Metazoa; Arthropoda; Insecta; Odonata; Libellulidae
Description: eukaryotic LSU rRNA
Rfam family: Eukaryotic large subunit ribosomal RNA
Source: RNAcentral
GCGGUGCGCGCAGAAGGGUCUGGNCUCGAGCCUGCCUGGAGCCGCCGCCGGUGCAGAUCUUGGUGGUAGUAGCAAAUACUCCAGCGAGGCCCUGGAGGACUGAUGUGGAGAAGGGUUUCGUGUGAACAGCCGUUGCACACGAGUCAGUCGAUCCUAAGCCCUAGGAGAAAUCCGAUGCAAACGGCGAUGGGAAACGCACUGAACUCGAGAAUCAAAGAGACAGAGACCCAUUGAUCGGGCGAAAGGGAAUCCGGUUCCUAUUCCGGAACCCGGCAGCGGAACCGUUGUUUGUCGGGCCCUCGCAAGGGGUUCGUCAGGGCAACCUAAAAGGGCCCGGAGACGCCGUCGGGGGCCCCGGAAAGAGUUUUCUUUUCUGCAUGAGCGUUCGAGUUCCCUGGAAUCCUCUCGCANGGAGAUAGGGUUUGGAACGCGAAGAGCACCGCAGUUGCGGCGGUGCACGGGAAUUCCCGACGGACCUUGAAAAUCCGGGAGAGGGCCACGUGGAGGUGUCGCGCCGGCUCGUACCCAUAUCCGCAGCAGGUCUCCAAGGUGAAGAGCCUCUAGUC